GACGAACGCUGGCGGCGUGCUUAACACAUGCAAGUCGAACGGAAAGGCCCCUUUGGGGGUACUCGAGUGGCGAACGGGUGAGUAACACGUGAGUAACCUGCCCUUGACUUCGGGAUAACUUCAGGAAACUGGGGCUAAUACCGGAUAGGAAUCCUUGCUGCAUGGUGGGGGUUGGAAAGCUUCGGCGGUUUUGGAUGGACUCGCGGCUUAUCAGCUUGUUGGUGGGGUAGUGGCUUACCAAGGCUUUGACGGGUAGCCGGCCUGAGAGGGCGACCGGCCACAUUGGGACUGAGAUACGGCCCAGACGCCUACGGGAGGCAGCAGUGGGGAAUCUUGCACAAUGGGCGGCAGCCUGAUGCAGCAACGCCGCGUGCGGGAUGACGGCCUUCGGGUUGUAAACCGCUUUCAGCAGGGGCGAAGCUUGUGGUGACGGUACCUGCAGAAGAAGCACCGGCUAACUACGUG
This 465-nucleotide ribosomal RNA is filed under the name uncultured bacterium. RNAcentral's name for it is "partial 16S ribosomal RNA". It matches the Rfam family "Bacterial small subunit ribosomal RNA", at positions 28 to 507 of the family's 1533-position model. The record is from RNAcentral.